Molecule: ribosomal RNA, 504 nt
Filed under: uncultured bacterium
Lineage: Bacteria
Description: partial 16S ribosomal RNA
Rfam family: Bacterial small subunit ribosomal RNA
Source: RNAcentral
GAUGAACGCUAGCGGCAGGCCUAAUACAUGCAAGUCGAACGGGAUCUGUGGGUAGCUUGCUACCCGAUUUGAGAGUGGCGCACGGGUGCGUAACGCGUGAGCAACCUACCCAUAUCAGGGGGAUAGCCCGAAGAAAUUCGGAUUAACACCGCAUAAUAAUACGCUAACACAUGUUGAUGUAUUCAAAUAUUUAUAGGAUAUGGAUGGGCUCGCGUGACAUUAGCUAGUUGGUAAGGUAACGGCUUACCAAGGCGACGAUGUCUAGGGGCUCUGAGAGGAGAAUCCCCCACACUGGUACUGAGACACGGACCAGACUCCUACGGGAGGCAGCAGUAAGGAAUAUUGGUCAAUGGGCGCAAGCCUGAACCAACCAUGCCGCGUGCAGGAUGACUGCCCUAUGGGUUGUAAACUGCUUUUGUUAGGGAAUAAACCUUCUUACGUGUAAGGAGCUGAAUGUACCUAAAGAAUAAGGAUCGGCUAACUCCGUGCCAGCAGCCGCCGUAA